This is a long non-coding RNA of Harmonia axyridis, 560 nucleotides long. RefSeq lists it as uncharacterized. The transcript has 4 exons. Lineage: Eukaryota; Metazoa; Arthropoda; Insecta; Coleoptera; Coccinellidae. The record is from RefSeq and is a predicted model, not a curated record.
UAUAGUUUAGUUGAUGCCAAGUAGCCGAUAUAAUAACGUCUUUAUUUGAUAUAUUUGAUUAAUCUUAUAAAUGGAUUGACAAUAUUUCUUCUUUCAUUUCGUGAAGAUACAACACAUAAGAACAGAUCCAACCAAGUUGAGAUUUCUCAGGAAGGAAGUGCUAUUCAAUGUUCAUCGACUCUAGACUGCCAAGAUGACAAAUUAAUAUGGUUUAACUCAAAAGAUAUUAUUACGCGAAUUCCAGAAGAGAUUGUUGAAAUUAUUGAUUUUACUCUAUAAUAACAUGGUGUUGAACUUAACAUUAGUGUGAAGGAAUUUCUAGUGAACAAUGUUAAACAGUGUUAAAGCCCAUGGUUUCAAGUUCCAAAAAUGAAUUUCAAUAAGUAUGUGGGAAAAGAAAUGGGGAUGUAAUUGUGUAACUACUCUAUACUUUUGAAAAUCCCUGUCUUUGCCGUUCAAUGUUCAUCGACAUCCGAAUUAUCAGGAGUGUUCAACCUUGGUUACAAGUUUCAAAAAUGAAGCUGAAUGAGUAUGUGGGAUAUCUCCUUUCGUGGGAACCA